AUAUUCUGAGAACAUGUGUCAGCACUGCUCUCUAAACCUGAAGCACUGGCGCACAUGGGCUCAUACUGAGGUCUGACAUCUCAAGAACCAGCACAAUCCUAGUGGAACUGAGAAGUGUUAACUAGAACAGAAGAGGUUUUGAGCCAUGGAAUUGGCAAACUCAAGGACAUGAAGCUCUGGUGUGGAUUCAGAACAGGAUGCAACCAGCUGGCAUCAAUAAAUGUCAUCUGCAGAGGAAAACAAGGGUCAAGAAAGUUUCCUUGGCUAUGCUGAGGUUGGAGAAAGUAAGAUGCCAGAAGGGUAAGAGCUGAAGUAAAAAUGUUUCAUACCAGAAGGCAAAAAGAUAAAUGUGGCCAGGAAUAAACUAAAACUGGAAAGGAGAGAAUUUCUGACCAUUUGAGGAGUGAAGUUCUGGCCUCCCCAGAAGAGGAGUAGGGAUGAAGAAUCCAACUUGCCCUCUGGUGGAGCUUUUCCCUGUAUGAGAAGAGGACAACAUGCUUAUUGGAAGAAGACAUGUGGUCCCAGGAGGACUGAAAGGGAUAUGACGUGCCCAUGUUUUCUGUUCUUCUCCCCACAAAGCCAAAGUAUUUGGCCCUGGUUUCUGAAGCAUCUCCCUGCUGAAUCCAACAUCGUUGCCUAUCUAAUUUGGAACACCACAUUUGUAAUUAAGUCUCGGGCACACGCAGAGGACGGAGGUGAUCAAUGGAGACCUUACCGGUUAUUUAUUUAACAAGGGAAACAAACCUAAACACAAAGAAGGAUGGUUAAAAAAAGAAUUUUUAAACAAACUCCAAGAACAGCAGCUGAUCCUUCUCUUUUGUAAACAAGGCCUUACUGUAAUCUUUUUAACUCUUGCCACAAGCCAGAUUUAUCUUCGGACAUCCUGCCCAGAAAUCACUGCACUUUGCAGCAGAAUAAACAUUCAAGGGACCCAGCCACACGGACACACACAGAGAAGGAGGUAGAGGGACUUGGAGAUCAAGAAGGGCUGGGAGAACAAGGUAGUGCAAAAAUGUUUAAUUAUGAUGGCACAUAAAAGAGAAAAAAUUCCAGAGAAAUCAAGUCCUUGUGUUGAUUGUGUGUGGGUGGAUAACUCACUUCCUUCAUGCUCUCCUCAUCCACUGGUGCCGCACACAACAUGCGAGGACUCCAACUCCUGUGCCUCCACGUCAUCUACUUAAAUCACUGAACUAUAUACAGAAAUAAAAGCUUUGAGAUAAAGCUGGCACAGGGAAAGAUGGGCAACUUCCCCAGCAGAGCUGUGGCAGUGUGACAAGCACUUGGAUCCCAUCCAGUGAGCUGAAGCAACUAAGACUCAGGCCUGAAGCUGAACUGAGCUGUUUGGUCCUGACAGAAACCUGCUGCAGUGACUGCAGGAGGUGGGGGAGCCCUUUGCCUGCAGAACAUGUGCAUUUCACCCACACAGCCUUGGGGCCAGCCCACUGAGCCACUGAGCACCCCAGUGGGACAAGGAAGCACCCAGUACUGCUCCUUUUUAUUUUUAAAGUGCAAACUUCUGGGCAAAUGCCCAGGAAUUCAAAGCUGGGUGCAGAAGUAAUAAAAGAUUA
Long non-coding RNA from Passer domesticus (house sparrow), 1568 nucleotides. RefSeq lists it as uncharacterized. The record is from RefSeq and is a predicted model, not a curated record. NCBI's taxonomy places the organism in Eukaryota, Metazoa, Chordata, Aves, Passeriformes, Passeridae. The transcript is spliced from 4 exons.